UACAGAGGGUGCUAGCGUUACUCGGAAUUACUGGGCGUAAAGCGUGUGUAGGUGGUUAGAUAAGUUAGAUGUGAAAUCCCCGGGCUUAACCUGGGAAUUGCGUUUAAGACUGUUUAGCUUGAGUACUGUAGAGGAUAGUGGAAUUUCCAGUGUAGCGGUGAAAUGCGUAGAUAUUGGAAGGAACACCAGUGGCGAAGGCGACUAUCUGGACAGAUACUGACACUGAGACACGAAAGCGUGGGGAGCAAACAGG
RNAcentral lists this ribosomal RNA (253 nucleotides) under uncultured bacterium. RNAcentral describes it as "partial 16S ribosomal RNA". It matches the Rfam family "Bacterial small subunit ribosomal RNA", at positions 524 to 776 of the family's 1533-position model. The record is from RNAcentral.